CCUACGGGUCGCUGCAGUGGGGAAUAUUGCACAAUGGGCGCAAGCCUGAUGCAGCCAUGCCGCGUGUGUGAAGAAGGCCUUAGGGUUGUAAAGCACUUUCAGCGAGGAGGCGUUACUCGCAGAAGAAGCCCCGGCUAACUCCGUGCCAGCAGCCGCGGUAAUACGGAGGGUGCAAGCGUUAAUCGGAAUUACUGGGCGUAAAGCGCACGCAGGCGGUUUGUUAAGUCAGAUGUGAAAUCCCCGGGCUUAACUUGGGAACUGCAUUUGAAACUGGCAAGCUAGAGUCUUGUAGAGGGGAGUAGAAUUCCAGGUGUAGCGGUGAAAUGCGUAGAGAUCUGGAGGAAUACCGGUGGCGAAGGCGGCCCCCUGGACAAGCUGACGCUCAGGUGCGAAAGCGUGGGGAGCAAACAGGAUUAGAUACCCCAGUAGUC
This 431-nucleotide ribosomal RNA is filed under the name uncultured bacterium. Its description in RNAcentral is "partial 16S ribosomal RNA". It matches the Rfam family "Bacterial small subunit ribosomal RNA", at positions 338 to 795 of the family's 1533-position model. The record is from RNAcentral.